GACGUUUGAUGAUAUGGUUGG
RNAcentral lists this non-coding RNA (21 nucleotides) under Arabidopsis thaliana (thale cress). The record is from RNAcentral. Lineage: Eukaryota; Viridiplantae; Streptophyta; Magnoliopsida; Brassicales; Brassicaceae.